This 1017-nucleotide long non-coding RNA is filed under the name Cervus hanglu yarkandensis (Yarkand deer). RNAcentral describes it as "lncRNA (ENSCHYG00000006210.1)". The record is from RNAcentral. Lineage: Eukaryota; Metazoa; Chordata; Mammalia; Artiodactyla; Cervidae.
AUGCACUUCUGUUUGGGGCUCCUGGCUUCUGAAAUGGCACUCUCUCCUGGUGUUUAUAGCUGCUUCCUCAUGCUCUGGCCGGUUCCUGCUCCUCCGUCUGCUCUGGAGCUCUGUCCUCAGACCUCUCUUCUCUUCAGCAGUGCUCCCCUCUGUGGCUUGUUAAACGUUCCCAUAUCUUAUUCUCAGCCUCCACCUCCUCACUGCUGCUGGAAGCAGAGCCUCUCUUUCCUCCAUCCGAAUCCCCUGCAGGCCUCCUCAGACCUUUACGCCAGAAAGUAUAAGACCACUGUCUCCCUGACCCAUCUUCUUGUUUUCUUUGCAAGGCCUGGGUCAAGAAAACAAUUGGAGCAUCACAUACCACAGGGAUCAAACUGUGAUCAAGGAAACAAGAAGGGCUUCCCGAGUGUCGCUGCCAGUACAGGAGACAUGAGAGACGCGGAUUCGGUCACGGGGUCAGGGAGAACCCCGGAGGAGGGCAUGGCAGCCCGCCCCAGUGUUCUCGCCUGGAGGAGUCUGGAGGGCUCUGGUCCACAGGGUCACAGAGUCGGAGAUGACUUAAGCGACUUAGCACACACGAAACAUGAAAUAUGCUCUCCCCUCUUCCUGAGACAGAUAGGCUUACAUGAAGACCUAGAAGAUCAGAUUCAACUUGCAGACUCCUGGGCUUUCCAGAGCUGGGUGUCAGCGGUCCCUGAGAACGGGCCCCCAGCAGAGCCCUCUUCUCUCUCAGCCAGGACUGUGUGCCCCCCGUGUGAGCUGCUGCUGCGGGCCGCCCUUGUGGCGUACACCCCAGAGGGCGUCCGCUCGCUGCCUCAGGGGAUCCAGGGGGUUCUGCGGGGCUCCUGGUGGCGUGUUCCCCGGACCGCGUGUGCACCGCCGGCGGAGGGGCCGGCCUUCCUGCAGGCGGCCUGCUUGUGUCCCCUCCACGUGGUGCCUCUUGCCUUCUCUGGGCCCCUGCUCCCCUUUGAACGCCUGCUCAUCCUUCAGAAUGUGGUUUCUACAGGCCUCAUCUUUUAG